UUAUCUAAGAGUUUGAUCCUGGCUCAGGAUGAACGUUGGCGGCAGGUUUGACACAUGCAAGUCGAACGGUAGAGUGGAGCUUGCUCUGCUUGAGAGUGGCGAACGGCUGAGUAACACGUA
This 120-nucleotide ribosomal RNA is filed under the name bacterium. RNAcentral's name for it is "partial 16S ribosomal RNA". It matches the Rfam family "Bacterial small subunit ribosomal RNA", at positions 1 to 119 of the family's 1533-position model. The record is from RNAcentral.